UACAGAGGGUGCAAGCGUUAAUCAGAAUGACUGGGCGUAAAGGGCGUGUAGGUGGUUGACUAGGUUUGAUGUGAAAUCCCCGGGCUUAACCUGGGAAUUGCGUCGAAAACGGGUCGACUGGAGUGAGAUAGAGGGUUGUGGAAUUUCCGGUGUAGCGGUGAAAUGCGUAGAUAUCGGAAAGAACAUCAGUGGCGAAGGCGACAACCUGGAUCUUAACUGACACUGAGGCGCGAAGGCGUGGGGAUCAAACAGGAUUAGAAACCCUCGUAGUCC
This 273-nucleotide ribosomal RNA is filed under the name uncultured Rickettsia sp. RNAcentral describes it as "partial 16S ribosomal RNA". It matches the Rfam family "Bacterial small subunit ribosomal RNA", at positions 524 to 796 of the family's 1533-position model. The record is from RNAcentral. Lineage: Bacteria; Pseudomonadati; Pseudomonadota; Alphaproteobacteria; Rickettsiales; Rickettsiaceae.